GGACUCCUACGGGAGGCAGCAGUGGGGAAUAUUGGACAAUGGGCGAAAGCCUGAUCCAGCCAUGCCGCAUGAGUGAAGAAGGCCUUUGGGUUGUAAAGCUCUUUUAGUGAGGAAGAUAAUGACGGUACUCACAGAAGAAGUCCUGGCUAACUCCGUGCCAGCAGCCGCGGUAAU
Molecule: ribosomal RNA, 174 nt
Filed under: uncultured Wolbachia sp.
Lineage: Bacteria; Pseudomonadati; Pseudomonadota; Alphaproteobacteria; Rickettsiales; Anaplasmataceae
Description: partial 16S ribosomal RNA
Rfam family: Bacterial small subunit ribosomal RNA
Source: RNAcentral